RNAcentral lists this ribosomal RNA (459 nucleotides) under uncultured bacterium. Its description in RNAcentral is "partial 16S ribosomal RNA". It matches the Rfam family "Bacterial small subunit ribosomal RNA", at positions 338 to 795 of the family's 1533-position model. The record is from RNAcentral.
CCUACGGGAGGCAGCAGUGAGGAAUAUUGGUCAAUGGCCGAGAGGCUGAACCAGCCAAGUCGCGUGAGGGAAGAAUGUCCUCUGGAUUGUAAACCUCUUUUGUCAGGGAGCAAAGUCAUCCACGUGUGGGUUUCGGAGAGUACCUGAAGAAAAAGCAUCGGCUAACUCCGUGCCAGCAGCCGCGGUAAUACGGAGGAUGCGAGCGUUAUCCGGAUUUAUUGGGUUUAAAGGGUGCGCAGGCGGGUUAUCAAGUCAGCGGUAAAAGCGUGGAGCUCAACUUCAUCCAGCCGUUGAAACUUAUGAUCUUGAGUGGGCGAGAAGUAUGCGGAAUGCGUGGUGUAGCGGUGAAAUGCAUAGAUAUCACGCAGAACACCGAUUGCGAAGGCAGCAUACCGGCGCCCGACUGACGCUGAGGCACGAAAGCGUGGGUAUCGAACAGGAUUAGAUACCCUUGUAGUC